AAACGUGUAGAAGAUAUUAGUAGGCAGUAUUUGUUCACUCUAUAUAUAAUAGUAAGGUAUGUUCACAUUUCUAACUUCAAUUAUAUGAUUAUAAAGCAGCAUUUACGAUUAUUUUCUAAGGUGUGUUUAUAAUAAUAUUCGUAGAUUACUCCUCAAAGAUAUGGAUGCAAACACAGUGUCCCGUUAGAUGCAAGAUUUGUUCUCAUUUCUUUUU
This 214-nucleotide unclassified non-coding RNA is filed under the name Bombus terrestris (buff-tailed bumblebee). RNAcentral's name for it is "misc RNA ENSBTSG00005036610.1". The record is from RNAcentral. Lineage: Eukaryota; Metazoa; Arthropoda; Insecta; Hymenoptera; Apidae.